RNAcentral lists this ribosomal RNA (164 nucleotides) under Hordeum stenostachys. Its description in RNAcentral is "5.8S ribosomal RNA". It matches the Rfam family "5.8S ribosomal RNA". Rfam says of the family: 5.8S ribosomal RNA (5.8S rRNA) is a component of the large subunit of the eukaryotic ribosome. The record is from RNAcentral. Lineage: Eukaryota; Viridiplantae; Streptophyta; Magnoliopsida; Poales; Poaceae.
CACAUGACUCUCAGCAACGGAUAUCUCGGCUCUCGCAUCGAUGAAGAAUGUAGCAAAAUGCGAUACCUGGUGUGAAUUGCAGAAUCCUGCGAACCAUCGAGUUUUUGAACGCAAGUUGCGCCCGAGGCCUUCUGGCUGAGGGCACGCCUGUCUGGGCGUCAUGC